Molecule: ribosomal RNA, 313 nt
Filed under: Enterococcus hirae
Lineage: Bacteria; Bacillati; Bacillota; Bacilli; Lactobacillales; Enterococcaceae
Description: bacterial SSU rRNA
Rfam family: Bacterial small subunit ribosomal RNA
Source: RNAcentral
UUUUAUGAGAGUUUGAUCCUGGCUCAGGACGAACGCUGGCGGCGUGCCUAAUACAUGCAAGUCGAACGCCUCUUUUUCCACCGGAGCUUGCUCCACCGGAAAAAGAGGAGUGGCGAACGGGUGAGUAACACGUGGGUAACCUGCCCAUCAGAAGGGGAUAACACUUGGAAACAGGUGCUAAUACCGUAUAACAAUCGAAACCGCAUGGUUUCGAUUUGAAAGGCGCUUUCGGGUGUCGCUGAUGGAUGGACCCGCGGUGCAUUAGCUAGUUGGUGAGGUAACGGCUCACCAAGGCGACGAUGCAUAGCCGACC